GAGAGAUUUGGGAAGCUUUUGGAGUGGGUGGGAUGGAAAAAUAUCGUAUUUAUUUUUUUUCCUUAAAAGGCAAAAAAGAUAAGAAAUGAGAUUUUUCCUAUUCCACCCAUGCCAAUGGCUUCCAAUCAUUUACUC
This is a non-coding RNA of Solanum tuberosum (potato), 135 nucleotides long. Lineage: Eukaryota; Viridiplantae; Streptophyta; Magnoliopsida; Solanales; Solanaceae. The record is from RefSeq and is marked provisional.